Molecule: RNA transcript, 3250 nt
Organism: Cinclus cinclus
Lineage: Eukaryota; Metazoa; Chordata; Aves; Passeriformes; Cinclidae
Gene: FNDC7
Gene name: fibronectin type III domain containing 7
Exons: 13
Source: RefSeq, a predicted model, not a curated record
AAGAGACCCCCCAGCAGCCAUGCGGCCAGAAGCCGAGCGCUGUGCCGGCCCCGUGUCACCGCGGUUUGGUGGCCGCUGUCCAGCUGCGAUCCCGCAGGGAGGAGCCGCCAGCCCAGCGCGACCUGCUCUCCCCCGGGAGUGCCUGCAGAGACAGCGCCGCUGGGAGCAGCGCUGGCCAUCGGCCUCGGCUCGCCCCCGCCGCAAGCUGCAGGGAAGUUCUGACAAGAUGCGCUGUGCAGAAAGGAAAUCAUUAGCGUUCACUGGAGUGCUUCUCAGCUGCCUAGGAAUGAUAUCUCCAGCAAACACAGCUCCAGAUAUACCUGUUAUUGACCAAGCUUAUUCAAAACUCAGCAACAGUAUCACAGUGGAAUGGAGAGCAGUACCUGGGGCUACUAAUUACAUGCUGACUGCACAAGAUGGAGAUUCCUUCAUUGAAACUAUGGUAAAAAAUUCUCCAGGCACAGUGACGGGACUGAAGCCUGCCACCUUGUACCGAAUCACUGUCAGAUCUGUAAAUUCAGGAGGAAAAAGCCAGCCUUCACCUUUCAGAAAAGUAAAAACAGUCCUGGCUGCUCCAAUUCUGUCUGUUCAUUCUCCAAGUUGUGACUCCAUUGCAGUGAGCUGGAAAGCUGUGCAUAUGGCAGCUGGGUUCUCUGUGUCACUCAUGAGAUCAGAUGGUUUGGGCAGAAUGCUGAAGCAGAACACCACCAAUACCUCCUUGAUAUUUACAAAUCUAGAUCCAGGAACUCUCUAUACCAUCAAGGCUUAUGCCUGGAAUGCCAAUGGGAUGCCUGGAGAUGAUUUCAUAUAUAACCAAAGAACAAGUCCUAAUGCACCAGUGGAUGUUAAAGUAGCUUUCAAUAGUGGUGCUUUAAGAGCUGUUGUCUCUUGGAUGCCAACAGAAGGAGCUCUAACUUACAGUGUUACAGUCUUCAGUGGACUCCUGAAAUUGAGGUGUAACACAUCAUCUGCCUACUGCAUGGUGCCAUCCCUCCAGUGUGGCUCUGAAUAUUAUGUGUCUGUCACAGCAUACAAUGAUGCUGGAUCCAGUGAACCUACUGAUGCAGUGAGCUUAAAAACUGUUCCUUGUGCACCAGUAAACAUCUCAAUUGAGGAGAAUGAACCUGGUCACUUGCUGGUAUCGUGGUCUAGCGUCAGUUUGGGUCAUUAUUACGUGGUUUUUGUGAAGAGUGAUGAUGGCUUGGAAGUGCACUGCAACACAUCAUAUACUCAAUGCCAUUUCCAAUCUGACUGUGGUUUCACUUAUUUCAUUAGUGUCUUUGCAUAUAACAAGGCAGGGCAGAGUCCUUUAGGUGAUGUAUUCAAUUACACUACUGCUCCUUGUUGCCCCAGUGACUUCAGGGCCGUGUUCAUGUCAAGCGACACGGUGCGGGUCACCUGGGCUCCUGUGCGAGGCGCUGACCUGUACGAGACCCGGGCAGCGGGCGGCAGCGGCGUGGUGCUGUGCAGGGACACGGCCACGGCCUGCACCCUGUCGGCUCUGCAGUGCAGCACCCCCUACAACAUCACCGUGUACUCCUUCAGCGAGGCCCGGGGCAGCAGCACCUCCUGUGCGCCUCAGUACGUGGCAACAGCUCCUUGCAGUCCUGAAAUUAAAAAUAUCUCUAAGGAGGGUGUAUCUGUAAUCAGUGUGCAGUGGCAACCUAACAAUGAAGAAGCUACAUAUGUUGUCACUGCCAGAGGAGAGGCUGGACUUUGGCAUUGCACAAGCACCAGGAAUUCCUGUACCCUAAUGGAUCUUCCCUGUGGAUCUGCUUUCUCUGUAAGUGCUAUAGCAAGAUCACCAGCAGGACAGAGCUUACCAAGCUACAGUAUCCCUUUAGAGACAGCUCCUUGUUGCCCUAAUGACCUGAUACUAGCUCAAGUGACACAGUCGGUAACCAAUAUCAGCUGGUCUGUUGGGAGGGGUGCACAGACAUAUGUGACAACACUGGAGUCUCCAAAAGGACAGGCAAAGUGUCACACACUUCAGACCUACUGUCUCCUGGGAUGUAUCACAUGUGGCACCAACUAUACAGUGUCUCUGACAGCCAUUAGUGAGACGGGCUUGACAUCCAGCUGCACCUAUCAGGGAUAUUCUUCCAGUGCUUGCUGUCCUUCUGGGGUGAAGCUCUAUAGACUCAGCAACAAUGGCAUCAGGGUAUUCUGGCGAGCUUCUGAUGAAACAAUCAACCACAGUGCUGAUUUACGUGGCUCAAAGGGCAAUUUCAGCUGUACCCCUAGCUCGGGUCUGAGUCACUGUGAUAUCACCGAGAUACCUUGUGGGGAUGUCUACACUGUGGUGGUAGCUCCAGUGACUGACAAGGGGCCAAAGCUCACGUUUUGUCCUAAGAAAAUAUAUUCAGUCACCUGUUCUGGAAGCUCUGUUGGAAUGGCCUUCCCACAUCCCAUUACAAAUGAAGAUAAGUGGCACUUCUGCUUUCAAUUUUCAAAAAGAUAAAAAAAGAAAAGUGUAGCUCAUCUCAAUCUAUUCUACCUUAUUUCUUUUGGAUUUCAGCAGGAUAGUGCUUUAUUUGGUUAUGUCAACUGCUAGAAAUAACUUCAGAAGCAGCCACUGAAACAAAAAUUUCUCAAGACAGUUACUUUUUCAUAACUGAAAUUGUCUUAAUUUCCAAAUUCUUUUGUAGUUAUUUCCAGAGGAAAGAGCAAUGUAAAAUACAUCUAGAUCAAAUUCUGGUUCAGAUAAGGAGUCUUUUUUUUCCCCUGAAGCUGGAAAGACACAUCUGUGCUUAACUGCAACAUUCACAGCUGCUUGAGGACUGGAACAGGAAAGCUGAACACUAACCCUAUCUGAGCCCUAAUCCAGGCAGGACCUUCUCUCAUACUCCACAGCCGUUACUUUUUCAGCUGACUUUGAAAGCAAAGUUUAAGGUCAAUGGUUCUAAAAACACGUGUGUAAUCUAAUAGAGUCUUCAGAAGCUCAUGUGUACAAAGGUAUCCAAAGACUACAGGGUUUUUAGUGCUGUUUUCAUCUUAUAAAAACAGACACCACCCAUUCUGGAACCUGCCUUUAUUCAGAGAACACGUCAGGUGUUAGGUACCUCAUGCAGUGCUUCUGAUCGUUGGUGCAAGGUCUAUGGGAAUCUCACGCUGCAGUAGGUUGCUUGUUUAAUCACAAUCAAACAAGUCUCUCUUUAGGAAACAUUAUUUUAAACUGCCCUGCAUUAGUUAACAGAAAACUGGUUUCAUUUCUCACUUAAUAAAAAAAUAAACAGCCUUCUUUCUUGAA